UACGUAGGGUGCGAGCGUUUGUCCGGAAUUAUUGGGCGUAAAGGGCUCGUAGGCGGUUUGUCGCGUCGAAUGUGAAAACCCGGGGCUCAACCCCGGGCCUGCAUUCGAUACGGGCAGACUAGAGUUCGGUAGGGGAGUCUGGAAUUCCUGGUGUAGCGGUGAAAUGCGCAGAUAUCAGGAGGAACACCGGUGGCGAAGGCGGGACUCUGGGCCGAUACUGACGCUGAGGAGCGAAAGCGUGGGGAGCGAACAGG
Molecule: ribosomal RNA, 254 nt
Filed under: uncultured bacterium
Lineage: Bacteria
Description: partial 16S ribosomal RNA
Rfam family: Bacterial small subunit ribosomal RNA
Source: RNAcentral